This 848-nucleotide ribosomal RNA is filed under the name Bacillus sp. (in: firmicutes). RNAcentral describes it as "bacterial SSU rRNA". It matches the Rfam family "Bacterial small subunit ribosomal RNA", at positions 59 to 887 of the family's 1533-position model. The record is from RNAcentral. Lineage: Bacteria; Bacillati; Bacillota; Bacilli; Caryophanales; Bacillaceae.
AAGUCGAGCGAACUGAUUANAAGCUUGCUUCUAUGACGUUAGCGGCGGACGGGUGAGUAACACGUGGGCCACCUGCCUGUAAGAGUGGGAUAACUUCGGGAAACCGAAGCUAAUACCGGAUAGGAUCUUCUCCUUCGUGGGAGAUGAUUGAAAGAUGGUUUCGGCUAUCACUUACAGAUGGGCCCGCGGUGCAUUAUCUAGUUGGUGAGGUAACGGCUCACCAAGGCAACGAUGCAUACCCGACCUGAGAGGGUGAUCGGCCACUCUGGGACUGAGACACGGCCCACACUCCUACGGGAGGCAGCAGUAGGGAAUCUUCCGCAGUGGACGAAAGUCUGACGGAGCAACGCCGCGUGAGUGAUGAAGGCUUUCGGGUCGUAAAACUCUGUUGUUAGGGAAGAACAAGUACGAGAGUAACUGCUUGUACCUUGACGGUACCUAACCAGAAAGCCACGGCUAACUACGUGCCAGCAGCCGCGGUAAUACGUAGGUGGCAAGCGUUAUCCGGAAUUAUUGGGCGUAAAGCGCGCGCAGGCGGUUUCUUAAGUCUGAUGUGAAAGCCCCCGGCUCAACCGGGGAGGGUCAUUGGAAACUGGGGAACUUGAGUGCAGAAGAGAAAAGCGGAAUUCCACGUGUAGCGGUGAAAUGCGUAGAGAUGUGGAGGAACACCAGUGGCGAAGGGGGCUUUUUGGUCUGUAACUGACGCUGAGGCGCGAAAGCGUGGGGAGCAAACAGGAUUAGAUACCCUGGGAGUCCACGCCGUAAAAUAUGAGUGCUAAGUGUUAGAGGGUUUCCGCCCCUUAGUGCUGCAGCUAACGCAUUAAGCACUCCCCCUGGGGAGUACGGCC